GACGAACGCUGGCGGCGUGCUUAACACAUGCAAGUCGAACGGAAAGGCCCUGCUUUUGUGGGGUGCUCGAGUGGCGAACGGGUGAGUAACACGUGAGUAACCUGCCCUUGACUUUGGGAUAACUUCAGGAAACUGGGGCUAAUACCGGAUAGGAGCUCCUGCUGCAUGGUGGGGGUUGGAAAGUUUCGGCGGUUGGGGAUGGACUCGCGGCUUAUCAGCUUGUUGGUGGGGUAGUGGCUUACCAAGGCUUUGACGGGUAGCCGGCCUGAGAGGGUGACCGGCCACAUUGGGACUGCGAUACGGCCCAGACUCCUACGGUAGGCAGCAGUGGGGAAUUUUGCACAAUGGGCGGAAGCCUGUUGCAACAACGUCGCGUGCGUGAUAACGGCCUUCGGGUUUUAAACAACUUUCGCCUGUGACGAAGAGUGAGUGACGGUAAUGGGUAAAGAAGCACCGGCUAACUACGUG
Molecule: ribosomal RNA, 468 nt
Filed under: uncultured bacterium
Lineage: Bacteria
Description: partial 16S ribosomal RNA
Rfam family: Bacterial small subunit ribosomal RNA
Source: RNAcentral